GACGAACGCUGGCGGCGUGCUUAACACAUGCAAGUCGAACGAAGAGCGACGGAAGCUUGCUUCUAUCAAUCUUAGUGGCGAACGGGUGAGUAACGCGUAAUCAACCUGCCCUUCAGAGGGGGACAACAGUUGGAAACGACUGCUAAUACCGCAUACGAUCUAAUCUCGGCAUCGAGGAUGGAUGAAAGGUGGCCUCUACAUGUAAGCUAUCACUGAAGGAGGGGAUUGCGUCUGAUUAGCUAGUUGGAGGGGUAACGGCCCACCAAGGCGAUGAUCAGUAGCCGGUCUGAGAGGAUGAACGGCCACAUUGGGACUGAGACACGGCCCAGACUCCUACGGGAGGCAGCAGUGGGGAAUCUUCCGCAAUGGACGAAAGUCUGACGGAGCAACGCCGCGUGAGUGAUGACGGCCUUCGGGUUGUAAAGCUCUGUUAAUCGGGACGAAAGGCCUUCUUGCGAAUAGUGAGAAGGAUUGACGGUACCGGAAUAGAAAGCCACGGCUAA
Molecule: ribosomal RNA, 503 nt
Filed under: Veillonella parvula
Lineage: Bacteria; Bacillati; Bacillota; Negativicutes; Veillonellales; Veillonellaceae
Description: bacterial SSU rRNA
Rfam family: Bacterial small subunit ribosomal RNA
Source: RNAcentral